GUCAUUGCACAAUGGUAGAGCAUCUGCUUUGCAUGCAGAAGGCUCCGGGUUCAAUUCCUGAUCUCUCCA
Non-coding RNA from Podarcis lilfordi (Lilford's wall lizard), 69 nucleotides. Lineage: Eukaryota; Metazoa; Chordata; Lepidosauria; Squamata; Lacertidae. The record is from the annotation of a GenBank genome assembly.